RNAcentral lists this ribosomal RNA (462 nucleotides) under Triticum aestivum (bread wheat). RNAcentral describes it as "partial small subunit ribosomal RNA". The record is from RNAcentral. Lineage: Eukaryota; Viridiplantae; Streptophyta; Magnoliopsida; Poales; Poaceae.
AUGGCUGCAGCUACUACAAGUCGGCCUAGCGGCCCGGUCCUGUCCAUACCCAGCUACCGCUCCGCCUCGCCCACCCGCGUCAAGCUCGCCGGCAGCAGCGGCCCCACCCGCUCGCCGGGCAAGUCCGUCAGCGUCUCGUCCCCGCCCUCCACCAGGAGCCGGCGGUCCUGCAUGUGCUCCUCGACAAACCACCCUGGCUCGUUCCGGUGCAGCCUCCACAAGGAGCGCAAGCAGGCGUCCCCCGCCGUGAGCAGCAAGCCGGCCUCCCCGCCGUCCAUCCGCAGUAGCUGCAGCCUGGGCUCGAAGCGCAUGGAUAGCGCUCAGUGUGCCCGCAGAACCCUCGUGCCGUCCCCCGCAGCGCAGCAGUCACAGCACCGGAGGCGCGCGGGCGGGUUCCGCCCCAGGCCCAGCCGGCUCUCAGCCGUCUCGGUGGCCGGCGAGCGUCCAGGCGACAACCAGUAA